CAUCAAUUGUAGUUGCUGGGCGUAUCGGUAGUGCAUUUGCUGCGGAACUGGGCACUAUGCAGGUAUCUGAGCAGACUGACACGUUGAGAGUUCUUGGUGCAAAUCCUGUUGAUUAUUUGGUGACACCAAGAGUUAUUGCCUCUUGCAUAGCGUUACCUUUUCUAACCCUAAUGUGCUUUACAGUUGGUAUGGCAUCCAGCGCCCUUUUGGCUGAUGGUGUUUAUGGAAUUAGCAUAAACAUAAUCUUGGAUUCUGCUCUGAGAGCUCUUAGAUCAUGGGACCUUAUUAGUGCAAUGAUUAAAUCAGGGGUGUUUGGUGCUAUUAUAUCCAUCAUAAGCUGUGGUUGGGGGGUCACCACACUGGGAGGUGCCAAAGGGGUUGGAGAGUCUACUACCUCAGCAGUAGUUUUAUCUCUUGUUGGCAUAUUCAUAGCUGACUUUGUUCUCUCUUAUUGGUUCUUCCAGGGUGCGAUUGCUUCUUGCGUUGCAUUACCAUUUUUAACCCUAAUGUGCUUUACAGUUGGAAUGGCAUCCAGCGCCCUUUUGGCAGAUGGUGUUUAUGGAAUUAGCAUAAACAUAAUCUUAGAUUCUGC
Molecule: long non-coding RNA, 592 nt
Filed under: Nicotiana benthamiana
Lineage: Eukaryota; Viridiplantae; Streptophyta; Magnoliopsida; Solanales; Solanaceae
Description: long non-coding RNA (NBEN_LNC032931)
Source: RNAcentral